GACGUACGCUGGCGGCGUGCUUAACACAUGCACGUCGAACGGAAAGGCCCUGCUUUUGUGGGGUGCUCGAGUGGCGAACGGGUGAGUAACACGUGCGUAACCUGCCCUUGACUUUGGGAUAACUUCAGGAAACUGGGGCUAAUACCGGAUAGGAGCUCCUGCUGCAUGGUGGGGGUUGGAAAGUUUCGGCGGUUGGGGAUGGACUCGCGGCUUAUCAGCUUGUUGGUGGGGUAGUGGCUUACCAAGGCUUUGACGGGUAGCCGGCCUGAGAGGGUGACCGGCCACAUUGGGACUGAGAUACGGCCCAGACUCCUACGGGAGGCAGCAGUGGGGAAUAUUGCACAAUGGGCGGAAGCCUGAUGCAGCAACGCCGCGUGCGGGAUGACGGCCUUCGGGUUGUAAACCGCUUUCGCCUGUGACGAAGCGUGAGUGACGGUAAUGGGUAAAGAAGCACCGGCUAACUACGUG
This 468-nucleotide ribosomal RNA is filed under the name uncultured bacterium. RNAcentral's name for it is "partial 16S ribosomal RNA". It matches the Rfam family "Bacterial small subunit ribosomal RNA", at positions 28 to 507 of the family's 1533-position model. The record is from RNAcentral.